UACGGGGGGGGCAAGCGUUGUUCGGAAUUACUGGGCGUAAAGGGUGCGCAGGCGGCUCCGCAUGUCAGGCGUGAAAUCCCCGGGCUUAACCUGGGAACUGCAGUCGAGACUGUCUAGCUAGAGUAUGGGAGAGGGAAGUGGAAUUUCAGGUGUAGCGGUGAAAUGCGUAGAUAUCUGAAGGAACAUCAGUGGCGAAAGCGACUUCCUGGACCAAUACUGACGCUCAUGUGCGAAAGCGUGGGGAGCAAACAGG
Molecule: ribosomal RNA, 253 nt
Filed under: uncultured bacterium
Lineage: Bacteria
Description: partial 16S ribosomal RNA
Rfam family: Bacterial small subunit ribosomal RNA
Source: RNAcentral